UAGAGAAUCUGCCCUGUACUGGGGGACAACAGAGGGAAACUUCUGCUAAUACCCCAUAUGAGCGUACCUGCGAUGGUAUUCUUGAAAGUUCAGGCGGUACAGGAUGAGUCUGCAUCUGAUUAGCUAGUUGGUGGUGUAAUGGACUACCAAGGCGACGAUCAGUAGCUGGUUUGAGAGGAUGAUCAGCCACAAUGGGACUGAGACACGGCCCAUACUCCUACGGGAGGCAGCAG
RNAcentral lists this ribosomal RNA (233 nucleotides) under uncultured bacterium. RNAcentral describes it as "partial 16S ribosomal RNA". It matches the Rfam family "Bacterial small subunit ribosomal RNA", at positions 118 to 354 of the family's 1533-position model. The record is from RNAcentral.